AUGUUGCAAGGAAUUGGCGACCUACCAAGGUUUAGUAAGGUACUUGAAAAAGCAAAAGCAUUCACUAUCUUUGUCUAUGGGCACACAAGGACCUUGGACUGCAUGAGGCACUUCUCUUCUGGGAAAGAGAUCAUAAGGCCAGGGGUCACUAGGUUUGCUUCUGCUUAUCUAACUUUGGAAAGCCUUCUAGACAAAAAGGAUCAACUGAGGAAGAUGGUGGUUGAUAGUAGAUGGGACAAGCUGAGAGAAGUUAAAUCAAAAAAGGGAAAGGCAGCAACAGCUACGAUGAUGAGCAUGGCUUUUUGGAAAGAUUUGAAGCUUUGCCUCAAGAAACAAAUGAUCAAGGAGAAGAAGAUCACUGAUGUCCUCUUAUCUGCUGAAACUACCGAAGCUCAAGGUUUUCUUUUUGAGGGCGGAGACGAUUAUGCAGAAGUCGUCUAUAGGGAUGAUGAGGAGGAGAUGGAUAGUACAGGGAUGCCAGGGAGUGCCAUUGGAGAAACAAUGGGAGGUGAUGAACUGCUCGAGCCACGUAGAAGUGCGAGACUAAGACAACUUUAUGAAGAAGAAGAAUUCGAUUCCGAAGAAGAGGAGUUUGAUGAGGAGGAGGAGAUGCAUUCAGAGGAUGAGAAUGAAUAUUGA
Molecule: ribosomal RNA, 639 nt
Filed under: Triticum aestivum (bread wheat)
Lineage: Eukaryota; Viridiplantae; Streptophyta; Magnoliopsida; Poales; Poaceae
Description: partial small subunit ribosomal RNA
Source: RNAcentral